RNAcentral lists this ribosomal RNA (465 nucleotides) under uncultured bacterium. RNAcentral's name for it is "bacterial SSU rRNA". It matches the Rfam family "Bacterial small subunit ribosomal RNA", at positions 10 to 523 of the family's 1533-position model. The record is from RNAcentral.
AGUUUGAUCCUGGCUCAGAACGAACGCUGGCGGCAGGCUUAACACAUGCAAGUCGAACGCCCCGCAAGGGGAGUGGCAGACGGGUGAGUAACGCGUGGGAACAUACCCUUUUCUACGGAAUAGCUCUGGGAAACUGGAAUUAAUACCGUAUACGCCCUACGGGGGAAAGAUUUAUCGGGGAAGGAUUGGCCCGCGUUGGAUUAGCUAGUUGGUGGGGUAAAGGCCUACCAAGGCGACGAUCCAUAGCUGGUCUGAGAGGAUGAUCAGCCACAUUGGGACUGAGACACGGCCCAAACUCCUACGGGAGGCAGCAGUGGGGAAUAUUGGACAAUGGGCGCAAGCCUGAUCCAGCCAUGCCGCGUGAGUGAUGAAGGCCUUAGGGUUGUAAAGCUCUUUCACCGAUGAAGAUGAUGACGGUAGUCGGAGAAGAAGCCCCGGCUAACUUCGUGCCAGCAGCCGCGGUAA